RNAcentral lists this ribosomal RNA (554 nucleotides) under uncultured rumen bacterium. Its description in RNAcentral is "bacterial SSU rRNA". It matches the Rfam family "Bacterial small subunit ribosomal RNA", at positions 75 to 626 of the family's 1533-position model. The record is from RNAcentral.
UUGCUAAGGCCGAUGGCGACCGGCGCACGGGUGAGUAACGCGUAUCCAACCUUCCCCUUAUUCGGGCAUAGCCCGUAGAAAUGCGGAUUAAUACCCUAUGUUUUCCAAUGAGGACAUCUGAGCUGGAACAAAGGUUUACCGCUAAGGGAUGGGGAUGCGUCUGAUUAGGUUGUUGGCGGGGUAACGGCCCACCAAGCCUACGAUCAGUAGGGGUUCUGAGAGGAAGGUCCCCCACAUUGGAACUGAGACACGGUCCAAACUCCUACGGGAGGCAGCAGUGAGGAAUAUUGGUCAAUGGACUAGCGCCCCGCCCCUAGCCAAGUAGCGUGCAGGAUGACGGCCCUAUGGGUUGUAAACUGCUUUUAUAUAGGGAUAAAUGUUCACUACGUGUAGUGUUUUGUAGUACUAUAUGAAUAAUGACCGGCUAAUUCCGUGCCAGCAGCCGCGGUAAUACGGAAGGUCCGGGCGUUAUCCGGGAUUUAUUGGGUUUAAAGGGAGCGCAGCUGAUGAUUAAGCGUGACGUGAAAUGUAGCCGCUCAACGGCUGAACUGCGU